This is a long non-coding RNA of Juglans microcarpa x Juglans regia, 106 nucleotides long. RefSeq lists it as uncharacterized. NCBI's taxonomy places the organism in Eukaryota, Viridiplantae, Streptophyta, Magnoliopsida, Fagales, Juglandaceae. The transcript is spliced from 2 exons. The record is from RefSeq and is a predicted model, not a curated record.
CAUUUGGUAAGGAGGCAGGCAGAAUUUUGCUCGAAUCAGGGAGAAGUAUCUUGAUAGAAUACCGGUUAUUGUGGAGAAGGCUGAACGAAGUGAGAUACCCGACAUU